GGUGAGAUGGCCGAGCGGUCCAAGGCGCCAGACUAAGGUGCAGUCAUAAGCCAAGUCCUACAAUCUGGUCUCUUCGGGGGCGGGAGUUCGAAUCUCCCUCUCAUCA
Non-coding RNA from Termitomyces sp. T32_za158, 106 nucleotides. NCBI's taxonomy places the organism in Eukaryota, Fungi, Basidiomycota, Agaricomycetes, Agaricales, Lyophyllaceae. The record is from the annotation of a GenBank genome assembly.